GACGAACGCUGGCGGCGUGCCUAAUACAUGCAAGUUGAGCGAUGAAGAUUGGUGCUUGCACCAAUUUGCAGAGCAGCGAACGGGUGAGUAACGCGUGGGGAAUCUGCCUUUGAGCGGGGGACAACAUUUGGAAACGAAUGCUAAUACCGCAUAACAACUUUAAACAUAAGUUUUAAGUUUGAAAGAUGCAAUUGCAUCACUCAAAGAUGAUCCCGCGUUGUAUUAGCUAGUUGGUGAGGUAAAGGCUCACCAAGGCGAUGAUACAUAGCCGACCUGAGAGGGUGAUCGGCCACAUUGGGACUGAGACACGGCCCAAACUCCUACGGGAGGCAGCAGUAGGGAAUCUUCGGCAAUGGACGAAAGUCUGACCGAGCAACGCCGCGUGAGUGAAGAAGGUUUUCGGAUCGUAAAACUCUGUUGGUAGAGAAGAACGUUGGUGAGAGUGGAAAGCUCAUCAAGUGACGGUAACUACCCAGAAAGGGACGGCUAACUACGUG
RNAcentral lists this ribosomal RNA (497 nucleotides) under uncultured bacterium. RNAcentral's name for it is "partial 16S ribosomal RNA". It matches the Rfam family "Bacterial small subunit ribosomal RNA", at positions 28 to 507 of the family's 1533-position model. The record is from RNAcentral.